This 530-nucleotide ribosomal RNA is filed under the name Botryosphaeria dothidea. Its description in RNAcentral is "eukaryotic LSU rRNA". The stretch from base 159 to 312 matches the Rfam family "5.8S ribosomal RNA". The record is from RNAcentral. Lineage: Eukaryota; Fungi; Ascomycota; Dothideomycetes; Botryosphaeriales; Botryosphaeriaceae.
CCGAUCCUCCCACCCUUUGUGUACCUACCUCUGUUGCUUUGGCGGGCCGCGGUCCUCCGCGGCCGCCCCCCUCCCCGGGGGGGUGGCCAGCGCCCGCCAGAGGACCAUCAAACUCCAGUCAGUAAACGAUGCAGUCUGAAAAACAUUUAAUAAACUAAAACUUUCAACAACGGAUCUCUUGGUUCUGGCAUCGAUGAAGAACGCAGCGAAAUGCGAUAAGUAAUGUGAAUUGCAGAAUUCAGUGAAUCAUCGAAUCUUUGAACGCACAUUGCGCCCUUUGGUAUUCCGAAGGGCAUGCCUGUUCGAGCGUCAUUACAACCCUCAAGCUCUGCUUGGUAUUGGGCACCGUCCUUUGCGGGCGCGCCUCAAAGACCUCGGCGGUGGCGUCUUGCCUCAAGCGUAGUAGAACAUACAUCUCGCUUCGGAGCGCAGGGCGUCGCCCGCCGGACGAACCUUCUGAACUUUUCUCAAGGUUGACCUCGGAUCAGGUAGGGAUACCCGCUGAACUUAAGCAUAUCAAUAAGCGGAGG